Non-coding RNA from Podarcis lilfordi (Lilford's wall lizard), 68 nucleotides. NCBI's taxonomy places the organism in Eukaryota, Metazoa, Chordata, Lepidosauria, Squamata, Lacertidae. The record is from the annotation of a GenBank genome assembly.
GCCUGGACAGCUCAGUCGGCUAGAGCGUGAUAAUGCCAUGGUUGCAGGUUCGAUCCCUGCACAGGACA